This is a long non-coding RNA of Ricinus communis (castor bean), 719 nucleotides long. RefSeq lists it as uncharacterized. The transcript is spliced from 2 exons. NCBI's taxonomy places the organism in Eukaryota, Viridiplantae, Streptophyta, Magnoliopsida, Malpighiales, Euphorbiaceae. The record is from RefSeq and is a predicted model, not a curated record.
GCUUUGAUUCUGAGUCGGAGAGGUAAAACUCGAAUUCCUCGGCUGUGUAGGCCGGAUUUAGCGGGGCGGCAAUGGCUCGGCAACGAAUUACGGCUAAGAACAUUAUCACAUACUGCCAAUAUCAAAAAAGAAAAUCACUAUCAUUUUCUGGUCACACAAACAGUACAAUGUAUUAAAAGAAAAAAGAAGAGAAUGAACGAGAAAGUAAAAUACCUCAACGGUGUUGGGAAAAGUGAGAGCGACGACAUGGCCAGGAGAGACACCGGAAGCGACAAGGAGAGAAGCGGCAUGAUCAAUGAGGUGUUGUAAUUGAGAAUGAGUCAGAUCGAGUUUUCGAGAAACAUGAAUGGCACGAUUAUUUGGGAAUUCAGCAGCAGAUUUCUUUAACAAACCAGUUAAGGUAAGGGUUUCCAUUUUCUGAAAAUAUAUGUUAAUUUUAUAUCAGAAAAGAAAUAGAAACAAAUAAUAGAUGUAGUCAAGAAAUAAAUAAAAGAGAGAAAGAAGAUGUGAAUAAGAAUGGUGCGGAGAAGAAGAAGCGUACACGAGGAGGCUUUAUAGUUCGGGAGCAGGGGGAGGUUAUAGCUGGGAAGGUGAGAAGGAACAUGUUCGCUAUAACUGAAGGGUCAGUUUAAGCGUGUGUUCGCCUUUGGACUUCGAGAUUUCUUCUGCGUUCCAUGAACAUACAUAUCCAUCAAUCACCUACCCUUCUUUUCUUUUCU